This 250-nucleotide long non-coding RNA is filed under the name Elaeis guineensis (African oil palm). RNAcentral describes it as "long non-coding RNA (EGUI_LNC031179)". The record is from RNAcentral. Lineage: Eukaryota; Viridiplantae; Streptophyta; Magnoliopsida; Arecales; Arecaceae.
AAUAGUACAGGUAGGUCAUAACUUGCCAAAUCCUUUCCCAUGCCAUCAAGAAAAUGCUCAAUAUCCAUUAAGGUAGGAAAGUCUGUUCUUCAGGGGUUAAAAUUUCACACUUGGUAAAAUCCUCAGGCAUUGGAUUUAAAAAUUCUUCCCACAGGUUUUUAACAUCAAGAAGUUCACAGUAAGUCAAUGUACCACCAAAAAUCUUGAUAAAACAAAUAGCCUUUUGAUAUGACACGGCUUCUUCGAGACC